RNAcentral lists this unclassified non-coding RNA (378 nucleotides) under uncultured Chlamydiales bacterium. RNAcentral's name for it is "contains 16S-23S intergenic spacer region". Lineage: Bacteria; Pseudomonadati; Chlamydiota; Chlamydiia; Chlamydiales. The record is from RNAcentral.
UCUGGUUUGUCACCGGCGGUCUCCUUAGAGUUCCCAACUUAAUGAUGGCAAAUAACGACAAGGGUUGCGCUCGUUGCGGGACUUAACCCAACACCUCACGGCACGAGCUGACGACGGCCAUGCAGCACCUGUGCACACGUCUCUUGCGAGGAAAUUACAUCUCUGUAAUCGUCAUGUGCAUGUCAAAUCCAGGUAAGGUUCUUCGCGUUGCAUCGAAUUAAACCACAUGCUCCACUGCUUGUGCGGGUCCCCGUCAAUUCUUUUGAGUUUCACCCUUGCGAGCGUACUCCCCAGGCGGUAUACUUAUCGCGUUAGCUUCGGCACAAUGGGGGUUGAGUCCCACUACGCCAAGUAUACAUAGUUUAAGGCAAGGACUAC